CUACGGGCGGCAGCAGUGGGGAAUCUUAGACAAUGGGCGCAAGCCUGAUCUAGCCAUGCCGCGUGAGUGAUGAAGGCCUUAGGGUCGUAAAGCUCUUUCGCUGGGGAAGAUAAUGACGGUACCCAGUAAAGAAACCCCGGCUAACUCCGUGCCAGCGAGCCGCGGUAAUACGGAGGGGGUUAGCGUUGUUCGGAAUUACUGGGCGUAAAGCGCGCGUAGGCGGACUGUUAAGUCGGGGGUGAAAUCCCGGGGCUCAACCCCGGAACGGCCUUCGAUACUGGCAGUCUGGAGUUCGAGAGAGGUGAGUGGAAUUCCGAGUGUAGAGGUGAAAUUCGUAGAUAUUCGGAGGAACACCAGUGGCGAAGGCGGCUCACUGGCUCGAUACUGACGCUGAGGUGCGAAAGUGUGGGGAGCAAACAGGAUUAGAUACCCCCGUAGUC
This 440-nucleotide ribosomal RNA is filed under the name uncultured bacterium. Its description in RNAcentral is "partial 16S ribosomal RNA". It matches the Rfam family "Bacterial small subunit ribosomal RNA", at positions 339 to 795 of the family's 1533-position model. The record is from RNAcentral.